RNAcentral lists this ribosomal RNA (466 nucleotides) under uncultured bacterium. RNAcentral describes it as "partial 16S ribosomal RNA". It matches the Rfam family "Bacterial small subunit ribosomal RNA", at positions 28 to 506 of the family's 1533-position model. The record is from RNAcentral.
GACGAACGCUGGCGGCGUGCUUAACACAUGCAAGUCGAACGGCAAGGCUCCAGCUUGCUGGAAUGCUCGAGUGGCGAACGGGUGAGUAACACGUGGGCAAUCUGCCCUGCACUCUGGGAUAAGCCUGGGAAACUGGGUCUAAUACCGGAUAGGAACUUUCUCCUCAUGGGGUUUGGUGGAAAGUUUUUCGGUGCAGGAUGAGCCCGCGGCCUAUCAGCUCGUUGGUGGGGUAAUGGCCUACCAAGGCGACGACGGGUAGCCGGCCUGAGAGGGUGAUCGGCCACAUUGGGACUGAGAUACGGCCCAGACUCCUACGGGAGGCAGCAGUGGGGAAUAUUGCACAAUGAGCGAAAGCGUGAUGCAGCGACGCCGCGUGAGGGAUGACGGCCUUCGGGUUGUAAACCUCUUUCAGUAGGGACGAAGCGCAAGGGACGGUACCUGCAGAAGAAGCACCGGCUAACUACGU